This 337-nucleotide ribosomal RNA is filed under the name uncultured bacterium. Its description in RNAcentral is "bacterial SSU rRNA". It matches the Rfam family "Bacterial small subunit ribosomal RNA", at positions 8 to 343 of the family's 1533-position model. The record is from RNAcentral.
AGAGUUUGAUCCUGGCUCAGGACGAUCGCUGGCGGCGUGCCUAACACAUGCAAGUCGAGCGGGGAGAAGAAUUCGUUUUUCUCUUUAGCGGCGGACGGGUGAGUAACACGUGGGUAACCUGCCUCAAAGUGGGGGAUAGCCUUCCGAAAGGAAGAUUAAUACCGCAUAACAUCAAAGCACUGCAUGGUGCUUUGAUCAAAGGAGCAAUCCGCUUUGAGAUGGACCCGCGGCGCAUUAGCUAGUUGGUGAGGUAACGGCCCACCAAGGCGACGAUGCGUAGCCGACCUGAGAGGGUGAUCGGCCACAUUGGAACUGAGACACGGUCCAGACUCCUACG